RNAcentral lists this long non-coding RNA (960 nucleotides) under Phaseolus vulgaris (common bean). RNAcentral's name for it is "long non-coding RNA (PVUL_LNC002044)". Lineage: Eukaryota; Viridiplantae; Streptophyta; Magnoliopsida; Fabales; Fabaceae. The record is from RNAcentral.
GAAAAAACAAUGAGGUCUCUAAUGGCCUCCGCAACAGUCACUCUUGUGUUAGCAAUACUGUCUCUAAGCUUGCCAUCUCAAAUCUCAGCUGAUACCUACUUGUACUCAUCACCUCCUCCUCCCAAGAAGCCCUAUUAUUAUCACUCUCCUCCACCACCUUCACCUCCUCCACCUAAGCCAUACUACUAUCAUUCACCACCACCACCUUCACCUCCUCCACCCAAGCCAUACUACUAUCACUCACCACCACCACCUUCACCUCCUCCACCUAAACCAUACUACUAUCACUCACCACCACCACCUUCACCUCCUCCACCUAAACCAUACUACUAUCACUCACCACCACCACCUUCACCUCCUCCACCUAAACCAUACUACUAUCACUCACCACCACCACCUUCACCUCCUCCACCUAAGUCAUAUUACUAUCACUCACCACCACCACCACCCAAAAAGAAGCCAUACUACUACCAUUCUCCCCCACCACCUUCACCACCUCCUCCUAAGCCAUACUACUAUCACUCUCCCCCACCGCCUUCACCUCCUCCACCUACGCCAUACUACUAUCAUUCUCCCCCACCACCCUCACCACCUCCACCUAAGCCAUACUACUACCAUUCACCACCACCCCCACCGAAGAAGAAGCCUUACUACUACCACUCUCCACCACCACCUUCACCUCCUCCUCCAAAGAAGCCAUACUACUACCACUCCCCACCUCCUCCCAAGAAGCCCUACAAAUAUUCAUCUCCCCCACCUCCAGUGCACCCUUACCCUCAUCCUCACCCCCAUCCCCAUCCACACCCCCACCCUCACCCUCCCUACGUUUACAAAUCUCCUCCCCCACCCCCUAAGAAGCCAUACAAGUACCCAUCCCCACCACCUCCAGUCCACGUUUACCCUCACCCUCACCCGCAUCCACACCCUCACCCUCAACCUCACCCCCAUCCACAACCCCAC